Molecule: long non-coding RNA, 255 nt
Organism: Dreissena polymorpha
Lineage: Eukaryota; Metazoa; Mollusca; Bivalvia; Myida; Dreissenidae
Exons: 2
Source: RefSeq, a predicted model, not a curated record
AUCGCAGUUCAUUGGUUGUGUUAAUCCAAAUGUAUUAUCUUUUUAUGCCCCCCUUCGAAGAAGAGGGGGUAUAUUGCUUUGCUCAUGUCGGUCGGUCGGUCGGUAUGUCGGUCCGUCCACCAGGUGGUUGUUGGAUGAUAACUCAAGAACGCAUUCGCCUAUGAUCAUGAAACUUCAUAGGUAGAUUGAUCAUGACUCGUAGAUGACCCCUAUUGAUUUUGAGGUCACUAGGUCAAAGGUCAAGGUCACGGUGAC